Long non-coding RNA from Bombyx mori (domestic silkworm), 1505 nucleotides. RefSeq lists it as uncharacterized. NCBI's taxonomy places the organism in Eukaryota, Metazoa, Arthropoda, Insecta, Lepidoptera, Bombycidae. The transcript is spliced from 2 exons. The record is from RefSeq and is a predicted model, not a curated record.
ACUCUACUCUGCUCGUGGGGUCAAUUACCGGGCAAUUACGUAAUUUCUGACAUAACGCCCUGCCUCUAUUAUCGUGCGAAGAACCAGAUUUUGCUGGACCUGUAACCUGCCAACUUCACGUCGGCCUCCCACGCUCGGAGGUUGCCCUCGUGUGUGGGAAUGUCGUUAGUAUAGAGCGCAUAGAGGAGUGGUGCCAGGACGCUUCCCCGAGGGACCCCGGCCCUGACUGGGCGCACCGACCGACGCAUGUUCAUGUACUCAGCUAACUGUCAGUAUCUAAAACGUAGCUCCGUCCCCGCCGCCCCGCCGCCGGCUUCUGCGUAACUUUCCUCGUUUUUGUAGUGUUUUCACAAUUAUGACAGGUUGUUAUUUUGUAUUGCGCUCCAUUUUUAAUAAUCAGAACAAUCAUAUGUGACAGCUGACACAUUUCAGAUGUGCCUCUUACACGAAAGGAAUAUUACACAAUACUCAAUUAUUACUACGCUCUUACUGAGACACACCUGCUACACGGAGCGACCGAGGGCAACGACAUGGCGCCGCCCAGAAUAGAACUCCUAAUCGACGAACCUUAGGACUGCGUCGCAAGCGACUGAAUCCGAUACAGAUUACAAAAUAAUAUAAGAAAACUGUUUAUACUUGUAGUAUCGGUGCUAAACGGUCACUCAGGCGGCGAUUUUCUUGUAGACCUUACUCACCGGUGGGCUGAAGCCUUGGCUAGCAAAGGCGAGGGCCUUGAUACCGCGAAGGCCUUCGAUAUGAUCUGGCAUGGGCAUUUCUAUCGAAAUCACCAGCACACGAAAUCCCCAAAGGAUUCUGCAAGUCGGUCGUUAGCUUUUUGGAUGAAUGGAGCUUUACGGUCGUCGUUGAUAGCUGCUGCCCCAACACAACGACCAUCAAUGCGAGCGUUACUAAGGUUCGGUGAUCUUCCCUACGAUGUCCAUGCUGCACAUUGAUGACAUGCCGAUGAUCUACAGAAGGCGCGCUGAUAACUACAAUAAGAAACUCGUUUUCGAACGGGACCAAUGAAUUUCCGUUGUUCAAAUCCUGCAGACAGAUAAAAAAUGUUCUAAUGAAAUACGUAUUUAAGAAAUAAUAAUGAAAUAAUUCCACAACAUCAACUUCCCAACAUAAACAAUGAUGAGUAGGUCCGGUGCUGCACGAAGCGAGUCUGUCGAGGGGCCGAGUGCCGCGCCGGCUGGCUACACACGCGGCGCCAAUCUAUCAGCUCGUUGUGUGACCACUCAGUGCGAGCCGGUUCAUACAGUACAGUGUCCACCUCCUGUCUCCUGGCUGCGAAGUUCACACUGCGAUGUCUGCGGGCCCCGGCACGUAGUUACGAGCGGGCUCAGCGCGGGCACAUCUGUGCGUUGCAACAAUGACGCGACGGGACGGACCUUCGAUUCGCUGAUCUACUGUAGCGCGGGCUCCGGUUCAGUUCACAGCUCCGUGCUAACUGCAUGCGGUAUCUACCCAAAACUGUCUGUAACAUGCCGACUGCAAAAAUG